UCUACAGCGGUAAAUUGGUCCGAAACGUGAGGAAAAUAUACUCCAGGACGCGAUGGCAUCAGGAGUAUCGAUGGGAUUUGGAAAAAGCGGCGUAUUUCUGUCGAGGGUUUUGGGCCACGAAAUCGUUCAAAAACCCUCUGCUGGUCCCGGGUGAUGUUUCCGGGUUGGAGGUUACCAGUCGGGAUCCUUCCGACAGAAAGAAGUCGCUGGUUCGCCUUUUCUCCGCGUUGCCAAGGGUGGCACCUUACGAAGGAUACCAGACCAUUGAGGACA
Leptopilina boulardi is the source of this 273-nucleotide long non-coding RNA. RefSeq lists it as uncharacterized. The transcript has 3 exons. The record is from RefSeq and is a predicted model, not a curated record. Lineage: Eukaryota; Metazoa; Arthropoda; Insecta; Hymenoptera; Figitidae.